Bacillus rossius redtenbacheri is the source of this 25782-nucleotide long non-coding RNA. RefSeq lists it as uncharacterized. The record is from RefSeq and is a predicted model, not a curated record. The transcript is spliced from 2 exons. NCBI's taxonomy places the organism in Eukaryota, Metazoa, Arthropoda, Insecta, Phasmatodea, Bacillidae.
UGAACUGUUUGGUGUCACAACAUGGCCGACACGUUUUAUUUGGGUUACCACGAAAGUCGGAAUUCGCACAUUCAGGCAAAGUGGCUUACAUCUGGUGGUUUGAUUUUGAAUCACCGAAGACGGUAUAAACCUAUAAACAAAGGGAGCGUAUGCUUGGUUUCAGGAGCGUUAAAGGAUGGCAAGAUGUUUUGGAUUCGUGGUUUGAGUAAAUUUUUUUGAAUUAAGCAGUGUAUGAGAUAUGUUUUAAGUUCGGAAGAUUCAAGAAAUUUGUGUAAUGUAUUGCUCAGUUCCGGACUGUAGAGUUUAUUCAGGAAAAAAUGUUUCAAUGCAUCGUUUUCCUAAGGGCGCAUGUUUUAAGAAUAGGCAAACCAGUAACCAACUAUAUGUAUGUAUGUCAACAUCAUUUUACGAAAGAGGAUAUCUUUUAUAGAGGUAGGUAAUUGUUGUUUUUCUUCUUACUUACUAGGCUCUUAUCAAUAGUGGGUACUAUAAACAGCAAUUUCACCAAAAUGGUAAGGAAUUCCUUAUCUCCGCCUUUUGCAAUAAAUUCAGAAAGGUUUAUAUUAAUAACUAAAAUUUUUACAGAAUUUUUUACUUUUGUUUUAAAGAAGAGGGGCAAAACUAAAUAAUUACCAUACUACAGCUCGUAACCUAUAAUUCAUACUCAAAUCAUAAAAAUGAGAUAUUUAACUUGAAUAUAGGUACAUAUAUAAAAUAGAAAGUAGUUUUUAAAUGAUAAUAUCAUCUAAUCCAGGCCACCAUAAAAUGGCUAUACAUUUAAAAACUGUAAGCAUUCAUGACAUUUUAAAUAUAUUUUUUUAAAGACUCGUAUAAAAGCGAACUUAAAACACUUAAGAAUAAUCUAUAUAGGAAAUUUAAUACUAAAGAUGUUUAUUUAUUUUUAAUUAUUUUAAUUUUUUGUAGGAACAUGUUUUAUUCUCAAGUAUCUUCUCAUUUCUCACAGGAUACUAAUAAUUCUGUAUUUUGAACUCCUUUUGCACUACAUUGUAACCUGUUUUCCCAGCAAAUCAUUUUUCACACCAACACCACCUUCUACUGUGCUCUAUUAGCACUUAUCAUAAGUCUUAAGGAAAAAUAUAAAAUAUAACCAUUUCUGUUAAAUCUUAAGUCAUCAUGUGGUUUGCACACGACCCGUCAAAAUUCCUACACAAAAAUCAUAAACCAUUCCACUACCAUGCAUUGAGUCAUAUUAACUACACAACUAAUUAUGAUUCAUACUUCAUAAUUCUUAAUUUUCAAUUAUAAACCCAGCUUAAGUACAUAGUUCAUGAUUUCGUGCAUUUCAACUACGGGUUCAAACAUUUUAUAAUUAUCACCUACAGACACACGAUAACACAAAUAUCCAUUACAAAUCAACAAUCUCAAUGCAGUCUUUGCCCUCCAUUUUGUUAUAUGCAGUGCUGCGCUCUAGAAGUGCUAAAUCCGCGAAUUUCGUCUUGCAGAAUCAUGCUCGCGACGCGCGGCACUAGUGCGGCACAAUGGUUUACUAUGGAUGCGAGGUUUGUUUACGUUUGAUGUGGCGCGAGGCAAACAGUAUUGUUUUUGUUAAUUGAAUAUUUUAAUCAGGAUGGAUGGCCAAAAAGAUAAAAAGAAACUCAAGCAGUAAUGAAGGAAAUGGUGGAAAUUUUAAAAGAAGUUGACCAAGGCAGGAAAAAUGCAGAUGUGGCACGUUCGUUUGGUUUGGUGUUCACUACACUGUCAACAAUAAUAAAAGAUUGCGAAAAAAUUAUUAAACUGUACGAACAGUCAUCUUUAUCUGCUGGUCGCAAGAGACUUCGGUAAAUAUGUAUUGUACGGAUUAGCGCCAAAAAAAAUCGUACAAAUAUGAAAUAACUUUCAUUAUAUGCUAUCUUACGUCCUCUUUUCAGAACCGCCUGCGGAGAUAAAAAAUUCCAAUUACUUUUGGAGAUAUCGAAUUUUUUAAUAUUCAUUUUUUGGCAAUUUUUUUAAAAAAAAAAUUUUAAAAUCUGAAAAUACCUUUAUUCUGUGCUCUUUAACUUCCUCUUUUCAUUAAACCCAGCGGAGAUCAGAAAUUCCAAAUACUUUAGGAGAUAUGGAAUUUUUUAAUUUUCAUGUUGUGCACUGAUGCGGCGUUUCAGCGGGAAGCCUACGAUUCACACAUCCUUCUGGACAUACCCGAAUACUCACGUUGGCAAGCCUUCUUUUCUUAAAAUUAGCAAGAAGUAAUUAAAAAUACUUUAAAACAUUGUGGAUGGUUGGUUAUAUUAGGUAAGUAUAGCUACAUUAAAAAAAACUGUAAAAUCAUUUUAUGGUUGCUUAGCAAAUAACUUUUUAAUAUGUAGCUAUCCAGCGCUAGGAAACCGUUUUCAUGAUUUCACAGUAUUUUUAAUGUAGCUAUCCUAACCAAAUCAACCAUCCACAAUGUUUUGAAGUAUUUAUAAUGUAGCUAACAUAACCUAAUUGACCAUUAGUUUUCAUUAGUUGCAUAUUUAUUUACAAUAAACAAAAAAAAACCGAAGAUGCACGAUCGGGCGUUUGCCUCUCGUCUGUUGAAAGAAGGCUUGCCAACGUGAGUAUUCGGGUAUGUCCAGAAGGAUGAGUGAAUCGUAGGCUUCCCGCGUUCACCAUUGUUGCUUGUUUACAAGUAUGAUUUUUUUUUUUUCGCGACGUAGUUGAACGACUACAUCACGUAAAAAGAAAAUUACGUGAGUUCCUACUGUUCAUCCUUUUUCCCGGUUUGUUAGGUCAGGUCAGCUACAUUAUAAAUACUUUAAAACUAAACAACAAUUAAAAUUAAUUUUUAUUAUUUUUAAUGUCCGUUCAGUUUCAAAGUAUUUAUACUGUAGCUGACCUGACCUAAUCUACCUUUGUCCCGUUUUGUUAGGUCAGGUCAGUUACAUUAUAAAUACUUAAAACUAUACAAGUAAAAUUAAUUGAUAUUAUUUUUAAUUUAUGUUUAUUUUGAAGUAUUUAUCAUGUAACUAACCUUACCUAAUGGAAAAUUUCUGUUAUUUAGGCAUUCACGCACACACGGCAAAAUAUAAAAUGGCGUCUGUUAAAUGAUUACAUAGGGCUUGUAUUGCAAAAUAAGAACGCCGAUAUCACCAAAAGUAAUUGGAAUUUUUAAUUUCCGCAGGCGGUUUUGAAAAGAGGACGUAAAAGAGCAUAUAAUGAAAGUUAUUUCAUAUUUGUACGAUUUUUUUUGGCGCUAAUCCGUACAAUACAUAUUUACCGAGACUUCGCCUAGGAGAUAACAAGGACCUGGAAAUUGCGCUGAACAACUUUCUGAAGGAUAUGAGGGCACAAAAUGUUCCAGUCACAGGACCUAUGCUGCAGGCUGAAGCAAAUAAUUUUGCUUUCUUGAUGGAUAUCAAAGAUUUUCAGGCAAGUUAUGGUUGGCUUCUUCGAUUUCGUGAACGAUAUGGAAUUUCAUGGAACGUUGUGUCUGGGGAAGAUAAAGAUGCUGAUACGGCAGUUGCAGAGCAGUGGAAAGUCGACAGAUUGAACGGAAUUCUAGAGUCCUAUUCUCCUGACAAUAUAUUUAAUGCCGACGAGACAGCAUUUUUUUUAUAAAAUUCUACCAAAUAAAACUAUGGCAUACAAAGGAGAGAAGUGCACAGUUGGGAAGAAAUCCAAAGAGAGGUUGUCAGUAUUAUUCUGCUGCAAUGCAACUGGAACCACCAAGUUAGUCCUUUAAUCAUUGGAAAAUUCAAAAAUCCAAGAUGCUUUAAGGGUGUUGCAUCACUUCCAGCUGACUACGUCAGCAACACAAAGGCAUGGAUGUCAAAUGAUUUAUUUUAUAAAUGGCUAGUUGAGACCAAUAAAGAAAUGAAAAGGAAAAAAAAAAUCAUAAUUCUGGUUGACAACUGUGCAGCUCAUAAUGUUGAUGUGCGACUUGAAAAUGUAAAAUUAGAAUUUCUUCCUGCGAACUGCACUUCCGUGUUGCAGCCUUUAGAUCAAGGCAUCAUCCAAAAUGCAAAAGUACAUUUUCGGAAGCGGCUUGUUGAGAGAAUUUUGAUCAACAUCAGGUGCAAUUUGCCCACAAAUGCCAAUGUCCGUCAAGCCAUUUAACUUAUAACAGGUGGUUGGUGGAAUGUUAAGGAGGAGACAAUAGCCAAUUGUUGGAGGAAAUCUGGCAUCAUAAAGGCAAGUGAUGAAGAGAGCAGUGAUGGUUUGUCUAUGGACCAGGCAACCACAAGGUCUGCAAGUGAUGCUGUUGCUGGUGAUGGCAUCUCACCAGAAGUUUGACAAGGAGUGUCAAGUACUUUGCAACUAGACAACAUUUCUUUUGAAAACUAUGUAGGUGUUGAUUGUAAUGUCGAAACUACACCACAGUUGACUGAUGCAGAAAUAGUAAAUGAAGUGAUGCAAGCAGCAGUUAGUGAAUCUUCAGAAGAUGAAGAAGUUGAAGAGGAGCCAGUCACUGCAAAAGAAGCCAUGAUGUGCUUUAAAAAACUUUCAGCAUUUCUUUCAUAAACAGAAAAUGUUCCCAUCCAUGUAAUGGAAUCCAUGCACAAUGUUGAACAGUUUGUGCAACAAACACAAAACAUACCAAGCAAACUAAAAUUUCUAAGUUUUUCAAGAAAAAAGAAUAAAAUUUAUUCUUGCUUAGAAGAAAGGCCAACUCUUUUGUUUGAAGUGUGUUUAUGUAAAAACUAUCAAAAAACAUAAUAAAAAAAAGUGGUUAUGCCUAAACUUGCAUGGAAUUUCUUGUUUAUCUGUGUUUUUUAUUUUGAAGUGAACAUUUUUGGUAAAUAUGUAGUGUACGGAUUAGCGCCAAAAAAAAUCGUACAAAUAUAAAAUAACUUUCAUUAUAUGCUCUUUUACGUCCUCUUUCAUAACCGCCUGCGGAGAUAAGAAAUUCCAAAUACUUUAGAAGAUAUCGAAUUUUUUAAUUUUCAUAUUUGGGCAAUAUUUGUUAAAAAAAAAUUUAAAAUUCCAAAAAUACCUUUAUUCUGUGCUCUUUAACUUCCUCUUUUCAUUAAACCCGGCGGAGAUCAGAAAUUCCAAAUACUUAAGGAGAUAUGGAAUUUUUUAAUUAUCAUGCUGUGCACUGAUGCGGCGUUCAGCGGGAAGCCUACGAUUCACUCAUUCUUCUGGACAUACCCGAAUACUCACGUUGGCAAACCUUCUUUUCUUAAAAUUAGCAAGAAGUAAUUAAAAAUACUUUAAAACAUUGUGGAUGGUUGGUUAUAUUAGGUAAGUAUAGCUACAUUAAAAAAAACUGUAAAAUCAUUUUAUGGUUGCUUAAUGUGUUAAAGUAAUGUAGCUAACAUAACCUAAUUGACCAUUAGUUUUCAUGAGUUGCAUAUUUAUUUACAAUAAACAAAAAGAAAAAAAAACCGAAGAUGCACGAUCGGGCGUUAGCCUCUCGUCUGUUGAAAGAAGGCUUGCCAACGUGAGUAUUCGGGUAUGUCCAGAAGGAUGAGUGAAUCGUAGGCUUCCCGCGUUCACCAUUGUUGCUUGUUUACAAGUAUGAUUUUUUUUUUUUCGCGACGUAGUUGAACAACUACAUCAAGUAAAAAGAAAAUUACGUGAGUUCCUACUGUUCAUCCUUUUUCCCUGUUUGUUAGGUCAGGUCAGCUACAUUAUAAAUACUUUAAAACUAAACAACCAUUAAAAUUAAUUUUUAUUAUUUUUAAUGUCCGUUCAGUUUCAAAGUAUUUCUUAAAACUAUACAAGUAAAAUUAAUUGAUAUUAUUUUUAAUUUCCGUUUAUUUUGAAGUAUUUAUAAUGUAACUAACUUUACAUAAUGGAAAAUUUCUGUUAUUUAGGCAUUCACGCACAGACGGCAAAAUAUAAAAUGGCGUCUGUUUAAUGAUUACACAGGGCUUGUAUUGCAAAAUAAGAACGGCGAUAUCUCCAAAAGUAAUUGGAAUUUUUUAUCUCCGCAGGCGGUUACGAAAAGAGGACGUAAAAGAGAAUAUAAUGAAAGUUAUUUUAUAUUUGUACGAUUUUUUUUGGCGCUAAUCAGUACACUACAUAUUUACCCUUUUUUUUUUACAUGCUGUAUUGUACGGGUACACAUCGUUUGCCCUACAGGCGUUUGCCCUAAACGUAGGGCAAAUGCCUGUAGGGCAAACGACUUUAGGGCAAAUGCCGUUUAGUGCAAACGACUGUAGGGAAAACGCCGGCAAGCACUUUAGUUUUGGAUUAACGAAACCACGCCAACUUUUAGGGCAGACGCCUUUAGGGCAAAUGCCUGUAGGGCAAACGACUGUCGAAAAACUUCUUUUAGGGCAAACGCCUUUAGGGCAAAUGCCGGAGCUUGGUCCGAAUGGGAUUAUCAAACAUUUUGUGCAAACGCCUUUAGGGCAAAUGCCUGUAGGGCAAACGCCUGUAGGGCAAAUGCCUUUAGGGCAAACGCCUUUAUGGUAAACGAAGUUUAGGUUAUUUUGGGUAAUGUAGGUUUUUUCAAUUAUGUAUCGAUUCAAACAGUGUUCUUGUAGUUUAUAUUUCCUCCGCAGGUGGCAGUACCUAAAUAAAUGUUUUCCCUCUAAAUGCAAAGUUUACAAAACCGUCGCUAGAUGGCACUUAUGUAAGCCUAUAUCGAGGUUUGGUGGGAAUUCAUGUGGUAUGAACUUCCUAGAUUCACCAGCAGAUGGUUCCCUGCGCUAAGUUCAAUGUUAUCAAAUAUUUUUUUCUGUAAAAUAUUUCGGAACAUUAGGUGAUGUAAGGUCUUCGACCAAAAAAAAAGUCGUAUAAUAAAAAAACAGUAUUGGCGAUUUAACAAAAAUAUCGCUGGAAAAAGGUUCAACUUUUUUUUCCGGGGAUUUGCUAAUUUCAAUUUCAGCUGUCAGACGCGCAUUACGCUAUGAUUACUUAAAAUAUUACGAGCAUAUAGGUAAAUAAUGCGAAUACUAGCCUUUAAACAUUUUCUUAAUUAGCAUAAUAGUACUAAUGCGGUUAAACUCCUACAUAUUGUUCAUACUUUUUUUAUUCUGGAAUGUAUACACAACAUACAGCUGAAGUACACAAUGAAGAAGUAUUCCAGUUCGUUUUGUUCUGAGUUUUCCAUAAUUUGCAUUUAGUUUGUAAUGUUUGUGUUAGAUCAUUUUGACGUUCAGUUAUAAGAGUUGGCCGAUAAUAGUCAUUAGUUGGCAUGAUUCUUAAAAUAGGCUAUAUCCGUAAUAUAAUAUAUAUUUAAAUAUAUCCAUAUUAUUACCCAUAUUUCCAUAGUGGAUUCCACUUAUAUUCCCAAAGUAAAAUAAUGAAGAUACGUAAUGGUAUUUCUCAAUAAUAAUAAUGUGAUUUUAGCCCACCGCACACAGAACGACUUUCCUUGCGGGAUUGUAUGCAUAUUUGUUUGUUCCACAAUAUUCCUUUCUUUUUCCAAAGUGACUUGUAGUGACGCGAUGUAAUGUUCACACUUACUUAAUAGUUCAUUUUCAGGAAGAUCACACCCUUGUACAUCAGUAACCUUCCCUGAUGAGGAUCCAUAGUCAACAUUUGGUUUAGUCGAUUGAAGUUCACGCCGUUUUAGUUUCAACCGACUACCUAUCUUCUUGGUAAGCCAGUUUACGCUGAGUUGUGCCGUGUCGAAUCUUUUUACGAAUGACUUUCUUGUUUAUUGAACCAGGGCUCCUACCUGACAUUUUUUUGAAAUGACUCUUCUCACAAGCUAAACCUUUCUUGAAUCUUGUCCUGCCAUGUAACAUUUACGCUGAAAAGAGCCUCGCUGUGUCUGUGUGUAGGUAAUUUAUUAUUUUGCGUCCAUUAAAUUUGGCAACGAGGCUCGUAUAGAAUUCUGCAGAAUUACUGGUUUUGUUUUCUUUGAGAUAUCUGUCACAAAAAAAAUGUCUUAUUAAAAAAUUAAAAACCUUUCGUUUGAACAAGAUUGUUUUAGAUAUGGAGCGUCUGUGUGCAUAAUAGUGUGAAAUCAUAUAUCCCAUAAUUAUAAAUGAAAAAUCCCCGAUGGCAGCCAGUCGGAAAGGUAGAUUUCGUCGUGCGGCUUAGCCUACCAAUAUAAAAAUAAACUUUCUGAAAAAUUCCAGAAGUUUCAAUGACUAUGUAAAAUCUUAUGAAUAUUUCUAGAAUAUCCAAUGUAACAAUAAAUUGCAAAUUAAUUGUUGGCUCAACAAUAUGUAUGGGAUAUAAAUCCAAUUCAACAAUACAUUAGACAUUCAUAUUUACCUGAAUUAGAAAUUCUGAAAUUCAUAGGACCUAGAUCGGAGAAAAAAUCGUGUAAUUUUAUGUAAGUCGCUCUGCGAAAUCUACCUAAAAACGAUCUCAGGAGAAAAAAAAUUAUAGUCACGUACAAACUUAAUUUGUGGAGAUGAACUGCAUGUGCACAACUGAUACUAUUUUUGAUACAUGAUUAUUAUGCUAACAGUUUUUGUUAUGGUUUGCUGUCCUGUAAGCCCGCCCCACACGAUGCCCAAUUUCUGCUUUAUAUUCUAUUAUAACCAUGGGUAUAAAAGUGGGUAUAUAAAUUUAAUUAGCAGAAGUGAAGAAAGAAUUCAUUACUCCAUACACACGAUACCCAGAGUUCUAACAAAGAAAACAGCCAACAUAUUUGCCGACCAAGGCAAGCAAGUCGGGUUGGAUAAACCUAUUGCGUACAUUUAACCAAAUACUGAAUAUAUAUAGGUAUAUAUGUGUGUAUAUAUAUAUCGUGCCCACUGUUAAAGUUGUAAGACUGUUUGUGGGCAUGUGACAAAUAUGUAAUUAACUAAAUAAAAUUGCAACGGUUUAUUUUGAAAAUUAUGCAAUUCGGUGAAUUAUUUUUUUAAAUAUUUAUUUUCUAAGCUUCACUUGCAAAAAAUAUAGAGAAGUUGAUUCAGUGUUUAAAAACAAGAUCAUAGCAAUUUUGAAACUAAAUUGUUUUGAAAAUAUAUUAACUAAAAUUGCACUUUUUUUUGCUGAUUCAUUAGCAUUUGAAACAGAGUUAUAUUUAAUGAUAUUUCUUUGUGUAUUAUACUUUUACGUAAUUCAUUAUUGUACAUACCACGACAUAUCCAAAUCGUUCCUAGUUUACACUCAUACCUAUGACAUUCGUUCAAAUCUUGUGGCAAUAUGGAUGAUAUGAUUAAAUGCAUUUUGAAAAGUUGUACAUUUCAUUGGCUGUCACACAUAAAAUCAGUCUUUUAUUAUAGUUCACUUGUUCCCAUAAAACUUAUUAGGGGUUAAGCUAUAGAUGGUCUGGGCGAAUUAGCAAAAUAUGCACACUCUCGAUGAAAGUAUUUUCACCGCAUUCUACAAACAUAUUAAUAAAUCAACAGAUUCAGUUGGGCACAUGUUAUAUAAAAAUUGAAAAUAGGCAUGAAGGUCUCUGAGGCUAUUUUAACAGUAACUUUUAAACGCUGAAAAUGUGUUUAUAAAUGCAUAUGUAUAAUCUUCUGUCUUAAAUUAUUUUAGGGUCAUCGUUUUUAGGACGACUUUAAGUGAAAAUUCCAGCAGGCAAGGAUAAUAAAAUUUUGUAAGCUCCUUUUGUUAACGCUUGUUUUUAUAUAUAGCAGCAAUAUUAAAUUAAGUUAAUUCGUUCGCUAUUUAACCCCCCUCCGCCUUGGAAAAUAUUACAUCAUCAACCUCUCUGUUAAAAAAUGAUUUAAAAAAUACAAUCCAGUCACUGAGAUUGGUGCACCAUCUGUUGUAAGGUUCAAUUACCAGUUGCAUUCUUAGACUUCAACGUUGGAAAAGCAAACCGUAUGUGCUGCCAUCUAAUUUGUGAAUUUUAUACUUUGUACUCAUUUGGAGAAUGGUUCCAACAUUUGUCAACAGGGGCGACACACGUAAGAACAUCUAUCUUCGAAAAGGUUCGUAGGGCAAACGCCUGUAGGGCAAACGACUUUAGGGCAAAUGCCUUUAGGGCAAACGACUGUAGGGCAAACGCCGGCAAGCAUUCAUUUUCGGAUUAUUGAAAAUUCGUAAACUUUUAGGGCAAACGCCUGUAGGGCAAAUGCCUGUAGGGCAAACGACUGUCGAAAAACUUCUUUUAGGGCAAACGCCUUUAGGGCAAAUGCCGGAGCUUGGUCCGAAUGGGAUUAUCAAACAUUUUGUGCAAACGCCUUUAGGGCAAACGCCUGUAGGGCAAACGCCUGUAGGGCAAACGCCUGUAGGGCAAACGACUUUAGGACAAAUGCUUUUAGGGCAAACGCUUUUAGGGCAAACGCCUGUUUGGAAUGAGGAAUGCGAGAAUAUGCUUCGAAAAUGCGUUUAGGGCAAACGCCUGUAGGGCAAACGACGCACUCCCUAUUGUACAAACAAAAAACUUUCUCCAGUGAUUCUUAAAAUAUUUAAGGUAAGUAUUUUCAGGGAAUGCUAUCCCAAUAAAUGUACAUAUCUGCAAAAUAGUUUUUAACCCAUGUCAUUUUGUGUUCGACAGAUAUAAAUUUUGUAUAUGUAGGCCUAGAAUUUAGGACACUGUAUUAAGUUCAGUAUUUUUUUUUUUUUAAAUUCUUCUUGUUUUACGAAUAUUUGCUUCCAAGCUAAUGUAAAUUUGAUCCCCUACUAAUUUAUUUUUAUUCAAAAAUACUACAUUUUAAAGGUAAAUAUAUGCUUUAUUGAUGUAACUUACCUACUUUAUAACGAGAUUCUACUGUGUAUUUUUUAAGAUUCCCCUGCACGUGAUGUUUACCACUGGCCCAUCACCUGGUGUAUCUAUGUAUAUUGUACACGCACAGGUGGUGGCUGGCAGAGACAUCACAAAGUGUGCUUCUACAGCAGCAGAGAGUACUGGGGGACCCAAGCUUUGCAUACUGUUCAGGGCAGUACCAUGACAAAUAUAAUACAUCAACAUGUUUAUUUAAGUAUAACAAGCUGCCAAGAAAUAAAUUUUAUUAGUACGGCAACUGGAAUCUUACGAUUCUGACAGAGAUUUUGCAAACAAAGUUUCAGAAUCAGAGCAAAUUUUAUUCUAGAGCUUUGAUGUGGCCACUGAACCACUGUAGGUAAAUCAUAUUGUUGAUACUUAACCAAAAGAUGCCAAUGUAAUUAUUCAUCAGAAGGUUUCAAACUAUAAUUAAGCAUAUAAAAUGCCCUGCUGAUUGCAAUUAAAUAACAUGAGGCCAGACCAUUUUCAUAUCUGGACAUUCUUAAGCGUAAAUGACCAAAUUUCAACGUGUGGAAUACUUUUAAAAUUAGUUAAGCAACAUAUCAUCCAAGGUUGACUCCAAAGAAUGAAAGAAGAGUUUUAUGAUAAUUUAGUAAACAGGGUGAUGCAGACCAGUUAAGAUUAACAGUUGUUAACUUUAGAAUGCAGAUGGAGACAUAACCUCAGUUGACAAUAAGAAGAGAAUGUAAAACUUCAUGCUCCCAAUGGUGGCAGGUUGGCAUCCUUGCACUAAAACUUUGCUGUAGUUAGUUGAAUUGAAUUCAUGCCUCCAGCAAAAAUAAGUUAUUGCAUAGUCUUUUAGGUAAAUAAAAAUUCCAUUGUACAUUAUUAUGCCUUGACUAAAAAUAUUAAUGUAAAAGUUCAUAAACCAUAUACUGGUUCUGGAGGGAGGACAAAAAAAAAUUGUAAUACCACAUGACAUGCUUCUUAUUAAACCCAACUCUGUCUCUUUGUUUUUAGCAAAACCUGCAAGAGGCAUAAAACCCUUGGGACAUAAAAAUUGAAGGUUAUAGUAAAAACUUACUGAUCUUUUGGGGUGCAUGGCACUGAUUCUCCAUUAGUCUCUUGGGUUGCCCCACUGUUCAAGCCAUGGCACAUGUGCACGCACACACAUCACAGAUACCACCAAUACCUAUGCCAAGAGCUGAAUAUCAGCCAAUAUCAGAUUUUAGAAUCGGUAUUGGAACAGCCAUAAAAACUGAAAACUUACGCAGCAAAUGUUCAGUACAAUAUAUGCGAAGAUUACUUGGAACUCACUUUUACAAACUAUGGCACAAGCAAACAGUUUGAAAUUUAUUCAAUUAUAAUCACUUUUGCAAGACAUUGGUGUUAGUUUAUAUAUAUUGGUUGUGUGUAUACAAUUUUAUUGUAACCACAUUAUGCUUUAUUUGAAUUUGAAUAUGAAUGUUAUCCAAUAAGCUUUUUUUUCACACCUGUUUAUUUUCAAUACAUCUACUGAUAAGUGUAGCAAUAAGUAAAUUAUUUAAUCAUACACACAUACACAAACAGUGUAACAGUUUGGUUCUCUCGUAUUCAAUUUUAACCAGCCAAUGUGUUUUUUGGACUCAUGUCGUAAAAACAAACUGCUGAAUUUGAAAAGACAAACAAAAUCCAAAAGUAUUCACCAGAUCACAGCAGAAAAUGAUAAUCCAGAGUAAAAAUAUGAAAUAAAGGAUCAUAAAUGCAUGAAUAAAUUGACGCCUCAAAGCAAAAAUCAUGUUUAGUCAUAAAGGAAACAACAUAAAAUAAAGGCUAAAUUGCUAUUAAUGUGUUGUUGGUAAGCAUGAGCAGGGACUAGUCAGCUGGGAACCUGCCUGUAGAAGCUUGCAGCAUCAGAUAUGGACUGGGAGUAGAUGCCUCGGUGGGUGUUGGCAAAGUUGAACAGUUGCUUGGCGUGGGUCAGCAAGGUGGCGGAGUAACUGGAGUUAACUGUCUUGAACACGAUAGACGCUGCUGCCAAGGCGGCUGCCGUCUCUCCGGCCAGGUCAGAGCCUGCCACCACAGAAACACUGUUUAGCUUCAAAAGUACUUAAGAAAUGAUACUGAGUUUUUAGUUGCACCAUUUCUGGGUCUCUGUUCUUGAUUUAUUCUAGAAAUGUGAGCCCUAGUACUCAAUAUCACCCCGGGACACAAUGCAGCAAUACAUAUCUUGAAAAGUAUUGAUUGAGAUAAGAAACAAUUAAAAAAAAUAACAAACUCACUUCUGGAAAUGCACAGAAAACCCACAAUACAGACAUUCGUUACGCCAUACCUAAUGCCACAGCUGAUGUUCAUAACGAACACCAUGUGCUGCAAAGUAAGUAUUUCACAGUACAAUUUUGAACUUGAUUACAGGCAUCGUAUAUAUACUUCUUCAACACCUGCAUAUCCAAACCCACGAGCCAUUUAGUCUUCUGCCUUCGUGUCAAGCUGUUCUACCUCAUGCGAAAGAACAAAGAACGUUGUGUAUUAAAGGAGGCAGAGAGUAGUUGUGAUAGCAGCCAAAGGAAUAACCAGAAGCCUAAAAGUCAUUAUUCCAAUUUCUUAAUGGAAUGUUAAAAGUUUGUCAUAUCAUCAGGGGGAAGAAGUUGGGAUAUCAAAUAAUUUUAAUUUAUGAUUGUUUCUUUGACAUUUUGCAUUAUCUAAGUAAGGUAUUAUAUUGAUGUCCCCUGAGCUGUAAGUCCUUUGCAUAAAUACUAAAAAUAUGGAUAAAUAUGAGAAAAAUAAGUAAUAUGAAGUACACAAGUUAAUACAAAUGUAUGAAUAUUGUUACAAAUGUAAAAAUAAAACCAUAAAUUUACCUCUCCACAUCAAAACCUUUCUAGCUAGGCUCUUGUGUAUCAUAAUACCCAUCUGAGUACAACAUACUGCCCACAAAAUUUCUGUCAUAUAAGCCAUGGUUCGUACCCACCCACGUGAGCAAUCUAACAUUAAGCAGUUUUUAAGGAUUCCUUUACGUCAUCAUCUUCAUCACUGUCCAGAGGUAGAAAACUAUUUGUAAUAUCACAAAAGUACCUUAAGAAAAUAACAAUGUUAAAUUAUUAAUGCACAAAAAAAAUUUAGAUGGUUAAUUUGAUUCUUAAAGAUAUGCCCCUAUUGUCCAGAAUUAUCUCUGGAAAACAGCUAACCCAAGCAAUGUCUAUCUGAAUUUUAUACUUCUACUAUUUACUAUGAUCACUAAUUAUAUUUACUUUAAAAGUUCAAAGUAAGACAAUGAAACACACCUUUUUAGUUAAAAGGUGAGAUACAAACUAUUAAAAACAAAUCAUAGGCAUGUCUAAAAUGAGUGUUGAAGCUAAAGCAUUGCCUUGUCAAGCCGUCAGUCAUACCUGGUGCCGAAGUGGUGAUCUUGUAAGCCGGGCGUGCCAUUGUCAUGUCCUCAGGGCGUCCCCAGUAAGCGUGGUCGGAGUUUCCUUCCCCCACCUGGCCAUAGAACUCGUUCUCGCUCACGUGAGCCUUCAAGAAGUAGUCUGUGCCCCACUUGAUUGCCUGCUGGGCGUACUUCAAGUUAUCUGAAAGACACUGCAGUUAGUACGCACUCUUGCUUUCUCUUCAGAGUGAACUGAGGAGUAUGUAAUGAAUGCACUCACUGGUGGACGAGUACACAUCCUCGUAAUCGAUGACACCCCAAGAAAGCACCGUGAUGGUGUAAGCCAUCGGGAACCCGAACUUCACGAAGUCACCAGCUACGCACAAACAAAGACAUCGCAGAAGAAACAAACAAUCACGAUGCAGAGAAACGGUUCACAAAAACAUAAGUACGCAUGCAUUAAAUGUAAAAUCCUCACCAUCGUAGUAACCUCCAGUCAAGUCCUCUCCAUUAUUGCCUUUGUCGUUGAGUGCCGAGUCUUUCCUCCAUGUCACUCUUUGAUCUGAAGGAAGCUUGCCGGACCUCUGAGCCUCGUAGAACAGCAGAGAGUCACCAAGCACCGUCUUGUAGUCAUAGCAUACUGUAGGUGAAAACUAUUUUUAUUUAACUCAUCAUAUAAAGAAUACUAUUUCAAUUUUUAAAAAUCUGUUUAGCCAGUAUAUUUGUAUAAGUUCCAAGUUAUCUAUUGCAAAGAAUGACCCUCUUAUUUAUUGCUGUUUUAGCUAAACUGCAAUAUCUGAAAAAAUUAAACCAAUGUUAGGAGCUAUAAUAUAUUUUUUCCUUUAUAUUAUCAGUUUGUACCUGUGUAUGUGACGCAACACAGAAGCAGAGCACUGCAGACUUGAAGCAUGUACAUUUUGCUGUGUCCUUACCAACACACUGCAGAAAAACAUUAGUUCCCAUGCUCCUUUUAUACAUUCAAGCUAAUGAAAAAAGUUCAAGGUGACACAUCAAGUGAUUAUCAACAACAAAAUACUCCAUCAGCAGUCGUAUCAUAGUCGUACAAAAACUGUAAAUUUACAAGUGGUUAGCAGUUGGUCUUAGAGAUAAAGGCUCCUAAUUUUCUAGAAGAAAAAAAAAACACUCCUGCAAAUGUUUUAUUUCACGCAACUUUAGAGCCUGUUUCACAAUGAUUUUGUUCCUAUUAAGUUCUGAUUAAAUAUUAAGAUUGUCGCCUGUCUCCUUGCCUUAAUGCGUCAUUUACAAUCAGCUCAAGAAUUAUUUAAGGUGUCUGAUUUUGUAUAGCACCUAAGAACCUUGCACUUUCCCUGAGUUUCAUAUUUAAAAUGUGAUCUUUGGCCAGCAAAAAAAGGCGUAAACAGGUGUUUUCACUAGCAUUUUUAAAGUAUGAGAAAUGUUGUGCACAGUGUUGUAAGUAGGAUCGGUAUGUAUGCACAGGUAACCUUUAUAUUUAAUUUUCCACCUUAAAAUUAAGGGUCAAUGCUGAAAGUUGCACAGCAGAGUAUUAUCGACGGUGCCUAGUGCAUGGAGGCAAAGAGACGUAUGGAUGCAUGAUGCAAGAGAAUGUCACCCUUAGCACUCAGCCAGGUCUUCUUAGGUCUUGGUCAGCAAAUUUUUCCAAUUAGAAAUGCACGUUUAGCUGUAAACAGUGAUAAUUUGGCCGGUUUGAGACUACAACACAAUAAUACAUAUAUAAUAUACAAAAGUGCUUUUGUGAUAAGUUUACAGGGAAAGCCCUAAAAUAAUAGUAAUGAUAAGAAAACUAAAUAACCAACAUGGCAUGUGAAACAGCACCUUAAUGCGUCAUUCCAAAAAAAAAUUCAGCAACUUUUAUGACAAAUGAAAACAUGUACCUAAUCUUAAGGCUUGGAUUCUUCCAUAAUUUUAAAUUACUGCAUAUACAUGCUAUUAUUUUGUAUCCAAGAGAAUUAACAAAGAAUUUCCACAGUAAAAUCAUCAAAUUUUCUAUAUUGUAACAAAUAUAUGUUAAAUGUUGUUAGCUACUUGUUAAAAGUUAGGCAAAUUAUCAUACAAAUUAUUACCUGAUUAAUUGGUCACUGUCGCUCACAAAGAUUAUUUUCUGGACUCUCACAGUUGAGAAACUCAUACAAAUGGCUCAUUUAUUCACAUUUUUAAAUUUUAUUCAUAAAAAUAUUAAACUAGAAAAAUAUAAAAAUUCAACAUCAUGGGUGAAGCACUUGCCAUAAUGAUAUAGAAUUGGUACAGAUAUUGUAAGGCAUAAAUUAAUUAUACCGAUCUAAAUGAUCCCUCUACAAAAAUAAAUAGACCAAUUUUAACGAAACUUAAUUUAUUUUGUGGUUAAGUUUUCAAGCACAAAUCCUACUUAAACUGCAGAAAAUCAGCAUAAAAUUACUGCACCCAGGAUUAUUACAUGCGAGAUUCCAAGCCUCUCAAACUGCACUGAGUAUGUGCAAGAUUAAGCAUGACUGUAGCUACACAUAAAUGGGCAUAAUGAUAAAUGAUUUUGUAUGUCAACCAACACCAGUGUAGAUAAUCAAAAUAAUCAAAUAUGAUUUAAUUUUUUUUUAAACGAAAACUAUGCAUGGAAGUAAAAUCAUUUUGCUACUACUAGAAUCAUUGUAUUUAAAAAAAAGUAAGAUAUGAGCUAAGUCAAAUUACAUUUAAAAUUAAAUUCCUAAAGCAUAAAACAGCCUAGAGGUUUAUAGUCACAUAAGAUUUGGAGAUGACAAAAAGAUUUUCUUGAAGUGCACAAUUUAAAUUUAGAGAAAUCUACAGAUAACACUGUGAUAACAAGUCAUCGGUGAACUUUCUUUAUAAGGAAUCAUGUUCAUGUGGCGUGAUAACUGAUAACAAUUUUUUUUUUGUUUGAGUGAGAGAAAACUACUUAAAAUCUAGGCAUCAAGUUAUCAGGAGGUUUCAUAACCUUGAAUCAUAAAACUUAUCACAAAAUAAUAGCGAUAUUAUAAAGUUAAGUUUUUAUCUAUGUAGUUUUUGUCGAUCUGGUGUGAGAGGACACUUUUGAGUAGCCAUCAUCAUAGGCCACGAGUUCAAAGCCCACGAAAUAAUUUGAAUGUAGGUCUGUUAGCGAACGAAGAGAGGAUUAACGUCUUAAUGAUAUUGGUUCAUUGAGGCGGUGAGGGGAGGGAUGAGAAUGGAGGAAUGACAAUCAAUUGGUGGAAGAAAUGGAAGUACCCCAGAAAAACCUCACCGGCUCACUUCAACAUCCUCCACGUUUCCCACUUGACCCAGUCGUGAAUAGAACCCAGAUCACCUAGUUGGAAGGCAAAUGAUCUGACCGCUCGACCACUGUAGGCCCUGCAGUAGGCUCUUGUGCAUUGUUUUGAAAAUGUAACUUCAUUCUACUGCUAGUUUAUUUUUUUGGUACUAAGCAGUUGAUUUGCAUAAGAAACAGUAACUCUGGAAAAAAAAUAGUUAAAUGUUCAAAAGUCAAAUAACAGUACAAUUUCCAAUAAGAACUACUACGGUAGAGUUCUCAAAAAUUUCAAUGUCUUCAGGUUAAGUUAUUUUGGGGAUGCACAGACUACAAAACCAUUUAAAAUUACCUACUUCACCUCAAGAAAUUUCACUGCACGAUUCUAUUUCAAAUAUUUUGCUAUACACUUUUGCAAGAGCUUAUUUACAUACAAAUUUUAAGCAGAAAGAGGUUUGGACUGCGAUGACACUCUACUCUCAUUCUGAUCGCCAUAGGCAAAACUCCAAAUUCAACACAAAAUUAAAUUUUUUUAAAAAUAAGAACAUAAUUUUGAUCACAGUUGUUUUUUAUAAGUUAUCUUAUCUGGUAACUAAAUCAAAAAAGCUCUUCUAAUGUGAUCAUUGAACUUUAGCAAUCAAGUGUUUACAUGAAAAAAUAAGCUAAUUUAAAAGUGUUUUUAAAUAACUGUACUAACUUUCUUUCCUUUUUUUAAUGUUUCUACUUUGUUAUUUCAUUUUAAACACCAUACUGAUUAUGUGGGUAAAACUAAAGUUUUUUUUUUGUGUGAGCAAUUAGCAUGCCCACCACCCAUGUCUAACGACUGUCGGUGGGCAUGUCACAAUUCUAAAUAAAUAAAUAAAUAAAUAAAUAAAUAAAUAUGUUUAGAAGUUAAGGGAAAACAGGUCAACAAUUAUGACUAUGUAAUAUAAGUGAAUGUUGGUACUUCACACACCAAAAUAUAAUGAAGAAAUAAAAUAAUGAAUAAACAAAUGAAUGAAUGGAAUGUUUAACGUCUGGUCGACAUUGAGGUGAAUAUAGAUGAUGUGGUGUGAUAAGAGCAUUGAUGGAAUUAAUGGUGAAGGAAAAGAAAGUACUCUGUGAAAACCUGACACUCAACAAUGUCCACCCCGUUUCAAACUUGCAAAAAAUCCAGUUUCAACCAGCAGAGUAUUGAACACAUUGCUUUAGAGGGAGGCAAGAAGUCUGACUACUAAAACUCUGUGGUCCAAAUCAUUUAAGGGUCCGCCUGCCUGGCAUUAUUAUUACUGUUUUUAUUUUGACCAGAACAACGAAGCACCAACAUCGACACUGGCGUGCAUGUUAAUUUCCCAGUCGCAUAUACGAGCAGGCUGUAAACAUGCAUUCAAGAGACUUAAAGCAAUUACCCUAAAAAUGUUUUGUAGGAAGGUGUGUAACAAAUCCCUUGGGUUGCUUCACAAAUUUUAAGUUGGAAGAUUCUGAGAUACAAUAGUGAGAAAAUAACCAUUUUGACUAACGUAUCACCCCUACGUAUAGGUGACAUCUACAAUUUAUGGGAUAAAAAUUUAACAUUUUCCACGAUAAGACACCCUUGAAUAUGGGCCACACCACAUAUUUGUCUUUAAUAGAAGCCUGUAAAUAUAAGUGAAGACUUUGUGUACUGCGUCACAGCUUAUUUGCGAGUAGGCAUUACGGCACUGAUGUCUGCUUUAUUACAAGAGAGGGCCCCCUCCUUCAAGGCCAAGGCAACUCCAUGCUGGUCAGGCAGAUCCUGAAACAUGUGGCAGCAGUAUGGGACCAAUGCCUGGUGACGGAGGUACGAGUGUUAGAGAAGGUACAGCGCAGGUCAGCAAGAUGGGUCAUCGGUAUGUGGAGUACAAGGGGAGGGGAAGAGGGUGAAAUGUACAGGCCAUCUGUGAUAAUCAGAGAACUGGGGUGGAGAGAUUACAGGGGUGGUGAGUAUAAAGGUUGGUAAGGUUCUUAAUGGUGAGAAAGAUCUGGGGAAAGUUGAGGAACAGUUUACACAGAGGGAGAAGAGACAAUGAGUGGAAUAUGCAAAAGGUGUGGAGGCAAACAAAACGGGGAAAGCUUUCGUUUUUGGUGAGAACAGGGUGGGAGUGGAAUGGGUAUCAGGGGAAGGAAAGGAACUGAAAGGGGUGAGGGAACUAAGAAGUAAGCUUAAAGGUGAGUGGAAGAGAAGUAUGGAGAGCUCCUUGCAACCAGGUGAAAGCCCAAUUGCAAGAUGUAAAUUGAUAUUCAAAAAUAAAGCCAGCUUUAAACUAUACAAGUUGUGGAACAGAAACAGUGUGUCACGAAGUAACUUCAGUGGGGCUAGAAGAAUUUGAAUUUGUACUUCACAGCAUCACGGAUCUAAGCCGGAAAGUUUCCACAAAUUAGAAAUGGAUGCUGUAGUACGUGCGCGAAUAGCAUAACACGAACUCAUGAAAUGUUUUAGUUGCAUUGCACAUGAAAACAAUACCUAUUGGCUGAAGCACAGUUCAAAACAAGUGGAUAACACAAGCUUUGUGCAUCAUAAAAACAUGGGAUAGAUACGUGCAAUGCAAUCUCUGACAUUUACAACUGUUUGAAAGGGAGGGAGAACUAUCAACACUACUUAAGAUAUAAUCAUGUGUGUUCAUAAAUGCACGUACCAAACUCUAGCUGUUUUAUUUUUAGAUUUUUCCCUCUAGCUGAAUACCGGCAUGGCAGACAGUUUCAUCACUUGCAGGGCGCAGGACGGUCAGCUAUGCCAGCAGCAGACAUAGCAAUGUAUAGACGCAGUUCAUGAUGCUUCGCGUGCAAUGCUGAGAGAUUUGAAAGAUAACAAUCUUUACUUAUUUAUGAAGUUAUAUUUAUUAAAAACCAGCACAUGCUUACUAUUUACACACAUUAAACCAUACAUUGUUAUGUUAAAUUUUUUUAAAACUGAAGUGGGAAACUUGUUUAAGGAUCGCACUUUGACCAACAAAGUUUGCAAAUAACUGCGAUCUACGUUGUCAUAAGUCAUGAUUUACAGUAUUUAGAACCUUCAGCGGCAAUAACUGUUGAACACAACUUUGAACACAACCUGUUUGUUUGUGACUGUUAUAUUAACCCGCCACUGGUUGCACAAGAGUAUUUUUCCCACCUUCCCCUCCUUUUAAAAAAAAUGUAUCUUAAAUUAAAAAAAAAUACUUAUACUACUUUGUUAUUUAUUUUGUAUAUUUUAAGCCCUAAAUUAAUUUUGAUAUUGCACUUACAUGAACAUAAAAAUUUAAAAACAAAACCUAUUUAAAUAUACAGUCAAACCUCUCUGAAACGACCCCUCACAGUUCCCAGGAAUAGGUUCGUAAUAGAUGUUUUCCGAAAUUUUCAGUUUAUUUCAACCCCCCAAACCGCUACUCGCUAAGAAACUAGCCGUACAAUGGCAGGAUGCUGUCACUCACAAUGCUAAAUGGCUUUGCUUUAAACCCACUUCAACCUUCUGACAAGUCCCUCGCCCUACAGGCCACCUCUAAAGAAAAUAUGUCAAAAUACAGUUUACUUUUACUGGUUAGUUUACAUGUACGUUUUCUGCUUGCCGUAGUUAAAUACACUAGAACCCCGAUGUCACGAACCCCGGAUUUAACGAAGUAGUGAUUUUACGAAUACAUUCUCAGGAACCGUCAAAAAAUCUGAUAUUUUGGUACCAAAACAAAAAUAAUUGGGGAAAAAAUGGUAAAACUCACAAUAAAAGGUUAUACAAAGUCAUUAUUUAACACGCAGCAUAUAUUUUGUGUGGGUUUAUAAUAAUAGUACUAAUGUUCAUAUAAGAGAAAAAAAAAUCGGACAUUCUGCUUAAAAAUACGGCAGCAGUAGCUUGUGCAACGUAAGUGGAAGCGCGGGAAUCUCGUCUAUACAGGCUGGCGCCUGGCGGCAGCACAGGCGGCGGAUGCAUGACGUCAUACGGCCUACCUCUCCUUCCCUUGUCCAGACUUCAAGGUUCAUCCCUCCCAGGCAUACCAACCAUCGUGUCUAUCUCCCCCUCCUCCCUAAACGUCCUUUGGCAUGUGAAACUGUCAACAUCCUUCCUCCCCUGCGUGCGACGAAAGACAGGUUUGUAUAGUCCAUUUCUAGUAAAAUGAAAAACUUUUAAGGGCCCCCGCAACAGCCAUUUACCGUUAAUUGUUUUGAUACAAUUUGUUUGUUAGUUACACAUUAUUUCCGCUGGAAAAUCACUGAAACUUCAAAGUUUCUUUAAUGGAAAAAUUUAGCAGGGCCGUAAAAGUAUUCAUUUUUACCGCAAAUGAACUAUACUCGCCCUUCCUGCCGGACAACAUUCUGGGCGCGUGACGCAUGGCAACUACAGUCGUGUGCCGCGCACAGCCACGAAAAACCUACGCGAUUUCCAAACUACACUAGAUUUCCGACUGGAGUCUGUUGACAAAAAGCAUUUAAGAAUUUGUUAAUGCCCAACUGGUUCUUUUGAUAUCGGAUCAAGAGGAUUUAGAGGAGAUAAAAUGGCUAAAAGGCAUGUUUUCGAAGUUUUAGGUGUAAAAAACCAGUUACAAAUUUCUUGAAAGUAUCAGAGGGAAAUGCAUUAAACCUUUAUCUUUAUUUUUCCGCCAUAUAAUGUUACGGUCACCGCUCAAAUUUCACAGUUAUCUGACGGGAACGAGAUGACUGCGCGCCAGUUCAGAGCCUUGCACUUAGAUAUUUUACCGCGCUAGAACUACCAUUGAGUAUCCCUCUUAUCAUCCCGCUUCACUAACACACGCUGACCAGACGGCGCCCUAAAGCUGAUUAGAGGAAGCACAUAGAAAUGCAAGGCAGGAAAUUCUUCCAGCUUAGCAACCAGGACCCGGGCAAGUCUUGACUAUCAAGCUUUUCACAUUAAAAUAUAAGAGACUUGUACUGUGUAAUUUCGGCGUUAUUUAGCGGUUUUUCUAAAAAAUAGCUUUUUUCGCAUUUUCCAUAUAAAUUUGCGGAAAAUUUCGCGAUUCACCAUAUAAUCGUGGCCCUAAUAAUGGGACAUUUCCUUUAUAAAUAUGGCAGCUGUAGGUUCUGCAACGCGAGUGGGCGCACACGAAGCUCGCCCGGCUGGCUGGUGGCAGCGGCCAAAUGCGUGGUCGCUUCGUUAUUGCUCGCGCGAGAGGUGAGACGUGGAAUGUUAGAAGAAAGAUAAAUGUGGGGGAGACUGACGGCAGCCAGUGUGUUUCCUGCGUGGGCGUGGGAAAUAAGUGGCGUAGCCUUUUUUUUAUGCUGGGUGAAGCGACCUUUUUAUAUCAGCCCAAGGGAAAAGAUAAUUGCUUGAGCUGUCAAAAUAAACAUCGCUGCGGCAGUUAAAACAAGUCGAGGCGGGCGUGCAUCCAGUCGGUCGCUGUGUAUUGUCAACCGAUAGUAAUCAAAAUCAAAAUAAAUCCAGCAGGUAGCUUUGCCUUAACUGCGUACCACACUAGACACUCGCAAAAAGCUAAACGUAAACACGUUGCCACAAAAACCUUUAUCUGCACCCUGCCGGCAAAGGGACGUGGAAUGGAGGUUGUCAAGCGCACAGCGGUCGACAGGAAGUGGUAUCUAUUUUUAGAUAUGCGCUGCCUACUGCAGUAAAGCACUCGGCAAGAGAAAUGCAGUAACACGCUACCCACCACAAGAAACUUAUUUUCUGUCCGAUUUUCUUCGGAUUUUCGGCAAUUUUUUCACGUUUCCUCGAAAUAGGGUUGUAAUAGAGAGGUGGUCGCAUUAAAUGGGGUCGCAACAAAAAGGUUUUACUGUUUAUAGUUUCCUUUUAACUCUUAACAAUUAUGCAUAAGUAUGAAUUAAGUCUGUGAAAAUAAUUUUAAAUCAAACUAAAUUAUAAAAUAUAGUUAUAAGUUAAGUCUUUAACCACACAGAAUUUUUAUUUUCGUAGAUUUGGCAAGUUUACACAGAUAGGUGCCUCAUAUGUUGCGCACAAUUUUGUAGUUUUCAGUUUUAUUUUUGCAAGUAAAAAUUAACAAAUCUCAUUUUCAGGAAAUAUUUCCUGCAUCAAUGAAAAUGAAAAAUAAAUAAAUAAAAUAAACUUAAUCUACAGUGUCCCCUACAGUGAUAAUCUUCUCCACCAAACCCCUUCGGUUUCACGGACACUGCUGGUCGCGCGUCAAUAAAAGUUCUUACAUACUACACACUCCUGUAAACAGAGAACUGUCUCAAGGUCAACAAUACAUCACUCCUCACAACCAAUCUGGUUGCUGUACAAUGAAAGAUGAAAACUCAUAUAGACCAGAGGACAAGGCUGUCCCAACUCGUCUUCAAAAAUAAAACCAUAUUUUUUAGUGCAAGAGAAAUACUCAUAGCGCGACCAAUGUCGGGUUAUCAAAAGUAUUACUCAAAUUAUUGUCUGCUAUAAUUUGCUUUGUACAUAUAGUGUUAACAGUUAACAUUUUUGUUAUUUGCAAAUCAUUUUAAAAAAAAUGUAAUAAAUGACCUUGUUACAGAGAAAUUCUACUUUCAGUUCACAAAAUACAUUUAUUGAAAUCACAAAAUAUACAUAAAAUAAAAUCCUCUAAAAUAAAUGUGUACAAGAAAUAUAAUUUCACAAAUUCAUAAGAAAUAAAUAAUACAUUUGAUAUUAUAAUUCAUUACCGUGACAAAGGUAUUUCAUAUAAAACUUUCGAAGAAGCAUCUUUUUAUAGCUGGGCCUUGGUUGGUUAUGGGUUACUACAAAAGUUGCAAACAAUAAAAUAACUUCAAAACUUAAAAAAUUACACUUCUGGGUGGUAAAAACAUUCUCUUCACACCAAAUAAUUUUCACAAAAAAACACAUUUUUCUUAAAAUUGUAGAAAACUUAACUAUGAUUUUGGCUUAAUACUGUGAUCUGAAUGAAAAAUGCAUUAAAAUUAAGAGCGACCUAAACAAUAUAAAAAUGGCAAUACCACCAAAGUUAUGGCAUGCAGAAUAUCUGCAACACUGCCUGUAAAUUAGUAUAUACGUUAAACAAAAUACAAGAUAAACAUUAUUUAAAUUUCAUUAAUAACACAGUUAGCCAUGCAGGAACUUACUCAAUGCACAGAAAAUUAAAAUUUCAAUUCCAGCCAACUGCAAUAGAGGUUUUUGUGUUUCCUUUGUGGCUUUCUGUUUCCACUCUAUGUCAAAUAAUAAAAAUGUAUGUUCUGUGAUCUGAUAAAAUGUUUUGAGUAGUCCAUCGACCAUCACACUUUGAAAUAAAAAAAAAUUCUCAAUGCAUUAUAUAGAUUUCAGUUGAAUAUAAAAUUAUGAUCAAUAAUACAUUAAUUUUUACAAAAAAAUCAAAACAGAGCCAAACAAAAAGUCAACAGUUGUCCACAACAUAACAUUAAUAGACAAAAGACUAUGAGCAAAGGCUAAAAGUAGCAUGCAAAACAGAGCUAAAUUAGCCUUUUGUAUUUCAUGUCUUUUUAAAUAGUUAAAUGAUUGUUAUCUGUGCUGUACAUUACCAUUACAGAAAAAAAGAUAAAAAUAUUAAAUGCAUACCAGCUUUUAUUAUUAUUUAUUAUUGCAUGGUCACAUGGACCCACCUCUCCCAUUAAAUAGGUUAAUUCUAAAUAAAGCCCCUCUUCCCCAUUCUGUUUUCAGUAUAAGCUAUUGCAUACCAUUAUAGUAUGUAAUAUUUUAUAUACAAUUUCCAGCUGAUAGAACAAAUAGAAAUGCCAUAAAUACUUGUUCAAUAUGUAGUGUGUAAUAUGCGUGAAAUAAAUGGUACCGACCAAUGCAAAAACAAUAAAAAAAAUUAUGCAUAAAUUAACAGUGUUUCAAAUCCAUGCAAGCUAUGGAAUCAUGUAAAUAAACAAUGAUAUUAUUUACAACCUCUGUUGCUCAAACAUAAUUGAAAUGCAAAUGGGCAUGAUAGAAUAAUUUUAAUAAAUGGUAGUUCACAGACAUUUGAUGGGGAAAAAUAUUUAAUGUCAAUUAAUUAUUGAUGAUUUCAAAUCAACCAUCAAGAACCAUAUGUGAUGGCGCUUGAACUACGCAUGACGUAGUACAAAUAUAAAAUAACUAAGUGAAAAAUUAUAUUUUUCAGUUACUGCUCAAAGCACAUAAUGUGUCCUGUCAGAUGUACAGUGUUCAGUGCAGAAUGUGUUGUGAACAUUACAGCCAACUUAAAUUACGUAUGAAUUAAUUUAGAAAUUUUGGGAAAUGGACAUAUUCAGCAACUGCAUAUAACAUACGAUACCUCCACUGUAGUAGUACAGUGUGAAUAAAUUAUUUUCAAAUGACCUAUUUACUGUUUACAUUUUUAAACACUUGGAAAAAUCCUACCAGACAUGCACAUGAAUAACUUUUGACACUGAGUGUUUGUUUGAAACCAGUUUUUGCAUGUAAUUAGAUAUUGUGAAACUAGUUUUAGAAUAGAGUAAGUGAAAAUGUGUAAUGGAAUAACGUUAGGUGGAAAUGUGCAAAUGAACAUCGAAAGGAAAAUCAUCAGUGGAUGCUAACUGUAGCAUCGCAAUGAGUUAUGGUGCCUAACUGGUGAAGUUGUCGACAGUUGCUUGGCACAUGUGGAGGAGGUUCCUCCGCCGAAUUUCUCCCUGUACUCGCUCAUCCAUAUGCUGCUGUGAUUCACUCCGUACUGCAACAAUCGCACACAUCUCUCAUUCCAACACCAUCUGCUGUUGUCAUGGUAGGACUUGUAUGCUUACGCAUAACUCAAUCCCUUUUGUAGGCUUCAUGUAGUUCAUUAAUGUAAAUAUAAGUGAGUCAGUCAUCUUUACAUAACUAACCUGUGUGUGUCUAAUAUUGUGAUUCAAAUUUUGUUUGUAAUAUUAAUAAACUUCAAUUAAAAUUUA